This 798-nucleotide ribosomal RNA is filed under the name Cellulosimicrobium funkei. RNAcentral's name for it is "bacterial SSU rRNA". It matches the Rfam family "Bacterial small subunit ribosomal RNA", at positions 56 to 866 of the family's 1533-position model. Lineage: Bacteria; Bacillati; Actinomycetota; Actinomycetes; Micrococcales; Promicromonosporaceae. The record is from RNAcentral.
UGCAAGUCGAACGAUGAAGCCCAGCUUGCUGGGUGGAUUAGUGGCGAACGGGUGAGUAACACGUGAGUAACCUGCCCUUGACUUCGGGAUAACUCCGGGAAACCGGGGCUAAUACCGGAUAUGAGCUGCCCUCGCAUGGGGGUGGUUGGAAAGUUUUUCGGUCAGGGAUGGGCUCGCGGCCUAUCAGCUUGUUGGUGGGGUGAUGGCCUACCAAGGCGACGACGGGUAGCCGGCCUGAGAGGGCGACCGGCCACACUGGGACUGAGACACGGCCCAGACUCCUACGGGAGGCAGCAGUGGGGAAUAUUGCACAAUGGGCGCAAGCCUGAUGCAGCGACGCCGCGUGAGGGAUGAAGGCCUUCGGGUUGUAAACCUCUUUCAGCAGGGAAGAAGCGCAAGUGACGGUACCUGCAGAAGAAGCGCCGGCUAACUACGUGCCAGCAGCCGCGGUAAUACGUAGGGCGCAAGCGUUGUCCGGAAUUAUUGGGCGUAAAGAGCUCGUAGGCGGUUUGUCGCGUCUGGUGUGAAAACUCGAGGCUCAACCUCGAGCUUGCAUCGGGUACGGGCAGACUAGAGUGCGGUAGGGGAGACUGGAAUUCCUGGUGUAGCGGUGGAAUGCGCAGAUAUCAGGAGGAACACCGAUGGCGAAGGCAGGUCUCUGGGCCGCAACUGACGCUGAGGAGCGAAAGCAUGGGGAGCGAACAGGAUUAGAUACCCUGGUAGUCCAUGCCGUAAACGUUGGGCACUAGGUGUGGGGCUCAUUCCACGAGUUCCGUGCCGCAGCAAACGCAUUAAGUG